This 502-nucleotide ribosomal RNA is filed under the name uncultured bacterium. RNAcentral's name for it is "bacterial SSU rRNA". It matches the Rfam family "Bacterial small subunit ribosomal RNA", at positions 30 to 518 of the family's 1533-position model. The record is from RNAcentral.
UGAACGCUGGCGGCGUGCCUAACACAUGCAAGUCGAACGAAGCACUUUCCCGAGGAAGAGGCGUGCUUGCACAAAUCGGACUCAAUUAAAGUGACUAGUGGCGGACGGGUGAGUAACGCGUGGGUAACCUGCCUUAUACAGGGGGAUAACAGUUAGAAAUGACUGCUAAUACCGCAUAAGCGCACGGUAUCGCAUGAUACAGUGUGAAAAGCGUAACGGUAUAAGAUGGACCCGCGUCUGAUUAGCCAGUUGGUGAGGUAACGGCUCACCAAAGCGACGAUCAGUAGCCGGCCUGAGAGGGUGAACGGCCACAUUGGGACUGAGACACGGCCCAAACUCCUACGGGAGGCAGCAGUGGGGGAUAUUGCACAAUGGGGGAAACCCUGAUGCCAGCGACGCCGCGUGAGUGAUGAAGUAUUUCGGUAUGUAAAGCUCUAUCAGCAGGGAAGAAAAUGACGGUACCUGACUAAGAAGCCCCGGCUAACUACGUGCCAGCCGCCGC